CCUACGUGUGGCAGCAGUGAGGACUAUUGGUCAAUGUACGCGAGUCUUCCCCCGCCAAGUAGCGUGCAGGCUGACUGCCCUAUGGGUUGUAAACUUCUUUUAUAUAGGAAUAAAACGAGGCACGUGUGCCUUUUUGCAUGUACUUUAUGCAUAAGGAUCGCGUAACUCUUUGCUAGGAGCGGCGCUAAUACGGAGUAUCCAGGCGUUAUCCGGAUUUAUUGGGUUUAAAGGGAGCGUAGAUGGGUUGUUAAGUCAGUUGUGAAAGUUUGCGGCUCAACCGUAAAAUUGCAAUUGAUACUGGCAGUCUUGAGUACAGUUGAGGUAGGCGGAAUUCGUGGUGUAGCGGUGAAAUGCUUAGAUAUCACGAAGAACCCCGAUUGCGAAGGCAGGUUACUAAACUGUGACUGACAUUGAUGCUCGAAAGUGUGGGUAUCAAACAGGAUUAGAUACCCGGGUAGUC
This 460-nucleotide ribosomal RNA is filed under the name uncultured bacterium. RNAcentral describes it as "partial 16S ribosomal RNA". It matches the Rfam family "Bacterial small subunit ribosomal RNA", at positions 338 to 795 of the family's 1533-position model. The record is from RNAcentral.